Molecule: long non-coding RNA, 2680 nt
Organism: Aotus nancymaae (Ma's night monkey)
Lineage: Eukaryota; Metazoa; Chordata; Mammalia; Primates; Aotidae
Source: Ensembl
UUGGAAUUUUUACUGUAACAUAGAAUAUAAGGGAAGUAGAAGCUGAGGGAAGAAGAAGAGGUCCCAGAGACUCCAGUCUGAUUCUCACACCUCUUGCUUUACAGUUGAGAAAACUGAAUCUCAGGGUUAGUUCCUUUUUGUGUCCCUGAAGGGUGAGCUGAUGAUCAGUCCACAGUACCUCUGUACCCGGAUGUAUGGAUGUAUUGUUUGCAUAGUUCAACUCAAGAAAUAGUGUUUUCUCUGUAGUUCUCAAAUUCAAUAAUGCCUAACUUACAAUAAUUAUCUGCUACUGACUAUCAGGGAAUCUAAGCACAUACAGCAGACGAAAGUUGAUGUUUGCAGUUUCAUAACAGGUAUAUUUAUAGAUAUCUGUUAUAAACAGUGCUAUUUAUGGACCCUCAGAAAGGCCUGACAAUCAAGGCUGGGGUGGGAUAGUUCUGCUGAAUUUCCUGGAGACCUCCAGCAUCUCAGGAUACAGAGUACUCCUUCUUCCAAGGCAGCGUCCUGGCCAUACGUUGUCAUCUGCACAGAGAUGGAGAGGCUCAGUACAGAAAGCCCAUUUCAUCAGCUGGUCUUCCCUGGUGAAAAAGGACCCCACACAUGUGCAGCAAAGAAUGAGAGGACUGAAUACCACAGCCAGCGAGGUGACAUCUGUGCCUGGCAUUUAAAGGGAGCCAAAGAGGGGUAUCAGGUCCUUGCAGCAAAUGCCAUCAGGCAGCUCCAGUUAGAUUUGCCUUUCUGCCAAGGUCAAGAGUGCCUUCCUUCUGCAGGUCCACUGAGGUCAGGGAGCCUGCCCCUCAUCGGGAGCUGGUGGAGUUUCAAGUCUGGACUCAUUGAUAACACAGUUACAGUAGAAAUAACACGUUCAGUCUUGCAGAACAUGUGGCAACCUUUUGUAUGAGUCAACACCGCUGGCAUUAGGAGGUUUAAGUACAAAGACUUUUCAGUUGCAGGAGGACACUUGUCAUUCUAGAGGUUCUUUGGUUUUUUUCAAAGUAUUUUUGUGUUUUUCUCCAGCCACUCUCCACCCUCAGGCCUCCUUACACAUUCUGACAGUUACAGUAAACAGGAAUUAGCCUCAGCUCACCAAGGGUGGCUGGCAGAUGGUUUUAAUAAGUUGUGUCUUAAGAGAAAGGAUUUAAGAGUGACAUGAAGACCAAAUUUACAUGCAGUGGACUGCACAUGGCCCAGACUCACCUGAUGCUAUUGCCUCUGCAACUCCCUGCCUCAUGGCUUCUGCAAAAGAUAGAAAUAACUAUAGCUUCCAUGUAUUGAUCACUUACUACCUUCCACAUAGCUACAUGGUUUCCUUAUGUGCCAUCUGCAGGAAUCCAUGUGAUGGUUAUGGUUAUGUCUACUUCACAGAGGAAGAAACCAGGCUGAGAGUCACUCACUGAUACCAAUGAUUGUGCUCCUAACUGCUUUUCUAUACCAUUUGCCAAAAAUUAUGAAAUUAAAAUCAUGGUAAAAGAUUCAGAAAGCAACACUCAGAAAUUAAAUAAAGAAGUUUGAUGAUUUUUAAAGGACCCAGAGGCUUUGUAGUGAUUGGACAACUGAUAAUCCAAUUAUUAAGGCCCAAGGGAGGGAAAGACAGAGACCAGGCAUUGCCAUCAUUAUCUGAGCUGACUCUCAUAGAACAACUACUGAAUUACAUGCUUGUAUGUACAAACUGAAUCUCUGAUAACAAUCUUACAGAGUGGAUCCUAUCAUCACCCUGAUUUUAUGGUGAACUUAGGAGAAGUUAAAAAUUCCUCAAAGUCAUGAUGCUAGCAAACGACCGAUUCCAUAUCUAAAUCUAGAACUCUGGACCAGAGACAUGUUUGUAACUAUUAUGCUGUGCGCAGAGAGAGGGAGAAGACUGUUGACCUCAGGGCAUGGAGUUUCUGUCCUGAGAACUCUCUAGGGUUGUGCGAAUGAUUUACAUGUAACUUACAUGCAACAAAGACUAGCAUGUUUUCAAGAGUGCAUAAGAGUUUUUCACAUGAAACAGAAGAAGUCACUCAGAACCACUGUACAGAUUCCAUAAGCACAGAAUAAAGUAAGGAGUUCAAAGUUCUAGUGGUCGUGAUUCUAAUGUAUGCCAACAGAGGAGGCGAAUGGCAGUGCCGAAAAGAGAAUGGAAUCCACAGUGGACUGAACGGUGGCCCCAAAGAUAUCAGACCCUAAACCCUGGUACCUCUCAAUGUUACCUUAUAUGUUACAGUCCUGCAGAUGUGAUUCAAUGAAAAAUUUUACAAUAAAGAGAUUAUCAUAGAUUGUCAAGUGGGUCUUAAAUAUCAUCACAAGUCACUUUAUACAGAGAGAGGCAGAGGGAAAAUAGACACACAGAGGGGAGGAUCAUGUGAAGAUGGAGGCAGGAAUUGGAGUGAUGCAGCUACAAGCCAAAGAAUGCUGGCAGCCAUCAGAAGCUGGAAGAGGUGAGGAACAGAUAGGCACUUUCCAGUGCCCUCGGAGGGAGCUUGGACUUGCUGAUAUCUUGAUUUCAACCCAUUAUUACUGAUUUUGAUCUUUUGGCCUCCAGAACUAACAAGAAGAGAAUAAACUUUUGUUAAUUCAAACCACUAAGUGAUGACUUAUUACAGCAGCCACAGAAAAUGAAUACAGGCUCUUAGCUUGUGGUCACAGAGGGUAAUGUUGAAGCUGUAGGAAACUGCUCUCCUGUGGAUGAGCCUCAUUCUCC